UCAGGACGAACGCUGGCGGCGUGCUUCAUACAUGCAAGUCGAACGAGAAGCUCACUUCGGUGAGUGGAAAGUGGCGGACGGGUGAGUAAUGUGUAGAGAAUCUGCCCUAGAGUGGGGGAUAGCAGUUGGAAACGACUAUUAAUACCCCAUAUGCGCGUAGCUGAGAUGCUAUUCGUGAAAACUCCGGUGCUCUGGGAUGAGUCUGCAUCUGAUUAGCUAGUAGGCGGUGUAAUGGACCACCUAGGCGACGAUCAGUAGCUGGUUUGAGAGGAUGAUCAGCCACAAUGGGACUGAGACACGGCCCAUACUCCUACGGGAGGCAGCAGUAGGGAAUUUUGCGCAAUGGGGGCAACCCUGACGCAAGCAACGCCGCGUGAUUGAAGAAGCCCUUCGGGGUGUAAAGAUCUGUCAGUGGGGACGAAACUUGACGGUACCCACAGAGGAAGCAUCGGCUAACUCCGUGCCAGCCGCUGC
This 474-nucleotide ribosomal RNA is filed under the name uncultured bacterium. Its description in RNAcentral is "bacterial SSU rRNA". It matches the Rfam family "Bacterial small subunit ribosomal RNA", at positions 24 to 518 of the family's 1533-position model. The record is from RNAcentral.